GUCAUGGGAAAUGAGAUUGCUAAGAGCUUUCCUUACACUAGAUGUCAAGUUGUCCUUUGCAGGAGCCUCUGCUGGGAUACAAGGGAAGCCCUUCAGCAUCCCCUUCAUCCAAAGCCAGAGAUCUCUCCCUGAUUGAUUGAACAUCCUUCAGUUCUUUCCCUGUGUAGAUCUGAAUCUUUAUCUCCUACUGAAAUUUUAUGUACACAAGGUCAGAAGAGGCUCCUUAAAUCUGAGAGCAAUGUAGCACCAUAAAUUCCAGUUCCUUGUAUCUGCUAAAACCAUCUCAAAAAUCUAGUAAAUAGAAGAGUAAGCCUCAGCCUGUCCUGGUAUUUCCUGUUACCAGAAGCCAGACCUCUGGGGACUCAUCCAAG
This is a long non-coding RNA of Peromyscus eremicus (cactus mouse), 371 nucleotides long. RefSeq lists it as uncharacterized. Lineage: Eukaryota; Metazoa; Chordata; Mammalia; Rodentia; Cricetidae. The transcript has 3 exons. The record is from RefSeq and is a predicted model, not a curated record.